Zootermopsis nevadensis is the source of this 3964-nucleotide RNA transcript. RefSeq lists it as uncharacterized. NCBI's taxonomy places the organism in Eukaryota, Metazoa, Arthropoda, Insecta, Blattodea, Termopsidae. The record is from RefSeq and is a predicted model, not a curated record.
AGCAUGUUAUCGAAGAUAAAACCUAGUCUGUGAUACCAAUUUCAUGCUUUGUAUUUAUUCAAAUAUAUUCUUUGACCAAUAAUAAACUUAAUAUGAAAUGGUUUUCUUCAGACUCUAAUUAAUAUAAUUGUUAAGAGUAAAUGAGGUUACCUGUUAAAAAAAUGCAAGUUUAAUAAGGUAUGCAGCAAGGACGACUUUUAUAGUCACUUUUCGUUCUUACAUUGACAAAUAUAAGCAAUCGUGUCAGACAAAGAGCAACAUCGGGUCCAUUUCGGAGAGCAUGCCGAUAGUUCUGGUAAAGAUAAUGAAAUUGUUAUACAGAAACGAUGAUUGGCAAUUCACAGCACACGACGGAUUUUUACAAGUGGGCCACAGCAUCUGUUAAGUUUCAAGGACUGUUGGAAUGCAUUGUGCCACAUAAAAUGGUGUCAUCCAAAGCAGCUUUAAAUUUGCUUCAGUGGAUAUUCACUUAUUUCUGUACUGCACCAAUUGGAAGUGUUAAGUCAGCAUUAGAAUGGAUUAUAAGUUUGAUUAAGUUUGGUUUAAGAGAUGAAGUGCCAAUCCAUCAUUUUAUCAUCAUUUUUAUUUGCUUCUUGAAAAUGAGAGAUUGGCUGUUGCUGUCUGCAAAUUAAUACAUCUGUUAACAACUCCUAAUGAUGUCUCAAGGUGGAGAGUGAAAAAGAUAUUGAAGGUUGAACAGAAGCUAAGGAAGAGGAAUCACACUUCUUGUCUUCUGUGCAUCAAGAUAACCUGUAAUAAUGGUUACUGGGACUGAGACUGAAUAUUGCUGGUACCAGCUCAGGCACUUCAUCAUCCGAUGAAUUCAUGGCCUUACGUUUAUUUAUGCUUGACGAAUGUCUUAUCCGUGUAAUUCUCAAAUGACUGAAUUUACGAAACAAUUAUACAUAUAUUACGAAUCCAACAGCACUAUACUCGAAACAUGAUCAUAACCUAUCAAAGUAUUCAAUAAUUUUCAAAGAUGACAACUUCAACCAACGUAAGUACGUGAAUUAUUUAUUGUUAGGAAUAAAACACGUAUUCAAAUAUUCGGGGUAUCAGAAUCAUAACAAACAUAUACGAAACAUACACAUUUAUUAGUUAAACACAGCAGCGCACAUCAUAACAGAUGAAUGUUGGUCUUCUUCAACGCGUUUUGACUGUACUGCCAUCUACUUCCAUCUUGUAGAGCUCCUAUAGGGACAUUGGUAAACCAAAAUUGAAUGUAGACCUCGAUAGCCAGUCGGUAAUAAAGUAAACUACUAUUCUAUACCAAUCCACCUAACCACCCUCUCCCCAUUUCAGGUUCCCAGUUUUAAUCAUCACAAGAAGUGAAUGUGGAAAUUCUCGUUGGAAAUUUUUUUUUAACUGGAAUUGUUUUUCCACCAGCUGGGUGUUACAUGUCUAUAUUGUUCUAAGUCCUUGAACACAAAAAUUGACAGUAAAAAGCAAAAGGGUUGCAGUAACUAAAAAUAGUGAUUUUUAAACCAUGAUCACCAGCCAACACAUAUCACAUUUAUUUAUCAGUUUGCAAUAAAAAGUCAGGGCCCUCUGAGUCUACACUUUUCUGUCACCAGUUUCCAAUAAACAACUAAAUCAGUAAAGAAGAAAAAACAAUGUUUAGAACGCAUGGUUUUGUGUUUAUGUGAAACCUAAAGAAAGUGUACACAUUAUAUCGCAAUUCGUUUGUGUUGUUAAUAAGACCAAUAAGAACAGAAUUAGGUAGUAGUCAGUGAAUAAAUGUUAUGUUGAGGAGAUACGCCUAUGUUUUUUCAUUAAGGAGCAUGUAGGUGUCUCUACCAGUCGCUCAAGUUACCACAAGUCUUUAUCCAGCUUCUAAUAGUGUAAUGGGAAUGGGCCUAAUUCUGUCUCACUAAUGGCAGUUCUCGGCCUGAUACAACACUGUACAGUAGCCAUUUGGUACAUUUCAUCUUGUUAUAUCUCCAUCUGUAUGUGUAGUUCUGUCUCUGUCUAAGUGUACUUUAUCAGUCUCGGAAACUACGCACCUCCCGUUUGCCCAUACUAAAUUGCUCUCUGACAUUUGCUGUUGCCUAAUCUCAUCCUUACUAGGCGCUUAUUAGGCCAACCUUUCACUGCUGCAAGCAAGAUAAAUCGUGAAGAAACAAUGUGCUAUGUAUAACUCCUAGAUUUGAUGAUACAAAGGAAUAUAUCGGCUUUCGCCAUCUUUUGAUGAUCAAAGACAAUAAUGUAUUGAUUUCAAAAAUUAUAUAAUUUAUCAAGGAAGAUCCUUUACAAGAGAACCUAGGAAAUUCUUUGAAAGGUUGACUGUAUACUCGGCUCAUCAAAGAAUAGCCCACUUCCUUUAUGAAAGUUAUAGGUUUAUCAUCAUGUUCACAAAAGCCCACCACUGGACUCUAUCCUGAUCUAGCUGCAUCCAGUUCACUCUAUCUAUUUCCCUAUGGUCCGCAUUAACUCAGUCAACAAACAAAAACAGCCAAACUUAAACUGUGAGAUCAAAAGAUAUCCAAUGUUUUUGAUACAAAAGCUUAUCAAUAUUAAAUGCCAAGUUAACAGAAACAAUUUCUGACCUGAAACCGUCUAUCUUACAAAAUGUCUAUGUUAAGAAAGGAAAAAUUUACCAUACACUAUGGCCCAAAAUCUUGAGACCUCAAAACAGACUUUUGGAUGGUGGGCUUCAUGCACUCUUUUCUUAUGUUCAUGUAACAAUGCACACAAGCUGAGAAGUGUUUAUUACAAACAUAAUGUAUUUUGAUCUUUAAAAGAUCAUCAUUCUUGUUGGAGAUGGACUGGCAUUAAAAUAUCAGUAUAUCUGUGCACAAAUAAUAAAUUAAAUAAACACACCCAUCAUAUUUGUAUCUUAGUACAGAAAUGCUGUAUCAGAAGUCAAUUGACUUUAUGAUGUGCUGUUGUGUUGCUGCUUUUUAGUACCUUUGUAUCAUCAGGCAUACAUUUUCACGAACCUCCAAGCAAUAAAAAGUGUGCUUAUUAAAAAUGUUCAGUGUGAUAGGUAUAUUUUAUUUUUAGUUGGAAUAACACAGUAUCAUGAAUUUUGAUGCAUUUUCCAAAAUAUGCCAUUCUUCACAUAGCAUCAUGUCAUGCUUUGUGUUUAACUUCCAUAGACUGAAGAUUGGUGUCUUCUGGAUUGUUGCGCCACGUAGUCUGGUAGAUGUAGACUGCGUGUAUGUGCAUUGCACAAAGAUUGGAAAUUGAAACAACCCAGUUAUAUAUAUGUUGAUGCAUUUUAAAAUUAGUGUCAUUCAGAUUAGUAGAUGUAAUUGUCAUAUCACUUGUUUUAUUUUAUAUAUGAAUAUCAUUUAAACACUCAGCUCCAACUUUAAAAAAUCUGUUUUAUGAUUUUUAAGGAAAUAGUAGCUGUUUCUUUUGAGAAUAUACAAAACUUGUAACCAGUUCUGCAUCACUGCAUGCCAUGAGAUCACGAUGCAGUCGACUCUUUGUGAAUUGCACUUCUAAAUCGUAUCUUAGCUUAAAACAUUUGUUUAGCAUUUUCCAGAAACCCCUAGUUCUUUGUGAAAAUCCUGAUAUAUCUCCUGUCAGAUACAAACACACAUAGAAAGAUAUAAGUUAAAGUUUAUGGGUCAUUUACAAGAACAUGGUCAGAAUCAAUUGGGGUUCUUCUGCAUGCUGGUGAUAAAUUUAAAAGGAGAGAAAAUGUGUUGGUACUGCUGAAUACAGCCGUUCAAACUUUGGACAGGGGGAAAAAACACCAGUAAUUAAUAAAAUUCAAAAUGAUUUGCCACACUGGUUAAUUAAAAAGCAGCUAUUCAUGUUUUAUGUUAUGCCACUUUUCUACUAUAACAUUCAAAUAAAAAUAAAAAUGGGGCAUAAAGGACAAAUGCCGAAACUAUGAAUAACUCUCCUUCUGUAACAGAGGACAAGGUUCAUACAUGAUAUACGAUAUUUAUUUGGCAUCUAGCUCUGAAUCAACUGUGCAAAUGAACUAACAAAAAAUGUAUCUGGCUACAAG